This 21-nucleotide microRNA is filed under the name Pongo pygmaeus (Bornean orangutan). Its description in RNAcentral is "ppy-miR-4526". Lineage: Eukaryota; Metazoa; Chordata; Mammalia; Primates; Hominidae. The record is from miRBase by way of RNAcentral.
GCUGACAGCAGGGCCGGCCAC